UGUAAUGCUUCACUUAAACAUAGGUUGGACAUGAUUUGCAAAUCAUUGUAUUCUGUUUUGAUUGAUGAGCAUAAUGUCCCAAUUUCACUGGAAUUGGGUUACUAAAUGAAUGCCUUGAUAGCAUAUUUUUGUUCAACACUGAUUUAGUAAAAUGUGUCACUUUGUUCUCCUUUUCAUGUGGUGGUAUCGACCUUUACCCCCAAAAAGGGAAAAGCAUCUCUCCAAAAGAGGGAAGACUGAAUUGGAUGGUAAGCUUUGGAUUCGAGUCCAGGAAAAAACCUUACACCCAAAGAGCAGGCAAAAUCUAAAUUGGAGAAAAAGACAAGGUCUCCCAGAGCAAAUUUGAGGAGACCAUGGAAUGAAGAAGAAAAGGCUGCUGUGGAAAAACACCUGGGGAGACUUAUAAAAGGGUGUCAAGUGCCUGGCAAAGAACAAUGCACUGACUGCAAAAUGAAAGAGCUGCAGGCCUUGGCUCAAAGAACCUGUAAAGACGUAAAGAACUUCAAGAAAAGAUCUGCUUCUCGAGUUCUUCAUUUUUAAAUUUAAAUUUUCUUGCUGGAGUAUUUUUUUUUCAAUUCUUUUCUACUCUUCCUGAGC
Molecule: long non-coding RNA, 597 nt
Organism: Hippocampus zosterae (dwarf seahorse)
Lineage: Eukaryota; Metazoa; Chordata; Actinopteri; Syngnathiformes; Syngnathidae
Exons: 3
Source: RefSeq, a predicted model, not a curated record